This 324-nucleotide ribosomal RNA is filed under the name uncultured soil bacterium. RNAcentral's name for it is "bacterial SSU rRNA". It matches the Rfam family "Bacterial small subunit ribosomal RNA", at positions 26 to 347 of the family's 1533-position model. The record is from RNAcentral.
AGAUUGAACGCUGGCGGCAGGCCUAACACAUGCAAGUCGAGCGGCAGCACGGGUACUUGUACCUGGUGGCGAGCGGCGGACGGGUGAGUAAUGCCUAGGAAUCUGCCUGGUAGUGGGGGAUAACGCUCGGAAACGGACGCCAAUACCGCAUACGUCCUACGGGAGAAAGCGGGGGACCUUCGGGCCUCGCGCCAUUAGAUGAGCCUAGGUCGGAUUAGCUAGUUGGUGAGGUAAUGGCUCACCAAGGGCGACGAUCCCGUAACUGGUCUGAGAGGAUGAUCAGUCACACUGGAACUGAGACACGGUCCAGACUCCGUACGGGAG